RNAcentral lists this long non-coding RNA (4981 nucleotides) under Sus scrofa (pig). RNAcentral describes it as "lncRNA (ENSSSCG00015042914.1)". Lineage: Eukaryota; Metazoa; Chordata; Mammalia; Artiodactyla; Suidae. The record is from RNAcentral.
UCCCACCCUGGUCUGCCUCCCCUCAGAGGUCACCAUAAGAGAUGGCUGUAAUGACCUGGAGAGGUCAGCUGGCCAGAGUUCAAGUCUUCCUCCUGCCCCUUCCUAGGUAACCUUGCAAGAAUCCCUUAACCUCUCUGAGCAGCCAUUUUACCUGCAAACGAGUGUCAUCUCCCUGCCUCCUUGUGAGGAUCUACGAUCAGAGAGAAGGCACCCAGCACAGUGCCCAGGACACAGAGGGGCAACAGCGAUUGCAGAGAUCCUUCGGGGGCCACCCCCACAGAGGCAGGGCCGUACAGUGGUCAGAGCGAUGGGAUGGGAGCCCCAACCAGCACCCGCUCUGCUAAGGUGAAAGUCAGAUCUGAUCAUUCCUAAUGCCCCCCUGGCCUGCCUAGGUCUUGGUCUUGAUGGUUUGGGAGCAAAGCAUGCUUUCUUCAGCCCUAGUCGGGCUUCGCCAGGCUCAGGGAGAAGUCAGGUCUGAGAUGUUCAAGUUCAGCCUCCCUGCACCGUCUCCACGGGCACCGGGCGGUGGCUCCACCCCCCUGGCCAUUCCCCACUCGGUGCCCAAGUCUCUCGUCCCAACGGGGGGCUGUGGGGCUGCGGCUAAUUGCAAAUCAUUUCUCAGGGCUCCCCGCUGUUCAGCUAAAUUCACUGGAACUAAUGUGUCCCGAAACAAAUUUCACAGAAGAGGCAGGGCAAUUACAUGAUGCUUAGUUCCCCUCCCCCACCUCCCCCAGCAGAGGCUCAGGGCUGGGGGCCGAGAGGACUGGAUGGAGCGGGCAGGGAACACGGAUGCAGGAGGUCUUCUCAGAGGCCAAGCCCCUACUCCAUCCAACCUUCCCGAACCUUACUACUGCCAUCUCACUGCGUGGGACAGCAUCACCCCUCCUCUGUCCCUCAUCCCUCCCAACAACUCCAUCGCCUUCAUCCCCAAGCUUCGGACACACCUUGAUAUAAUCAAAACAGUAAGCACUGGCUCUGCAACAGACCUGGGCUCAAACCCAGCUCCCACAGUUAUUAGCUGUGGGUCCUUAGAAGUCACUGAGUCUCUCUGAGCUUCUGUUUCCCAGUCCCUGCAAUGAGGAUACCAUGACUUGGCUACCAUUGGCUGCUGUGAAGAUUAGAGAAAAGAAUACAAUAAGAUAUUUUAUGUCGGUCCAGAAUAUAGUAGGCCCUCAGUAAAUACUGAUUCCUUCCAGCGCCUACUUUAUAUGAUCAUUUCGAGGUGAUCAGAUGAAUGUCUGCAGAGAGUCUCGGAGUCAAUUCAAAGCAAGAGAAUCAGAAAGCAAAGACCCAGAUUCACCUCCUCGAACAAGUCACCAAACAUGCCAUCUCUCUGUCUACCACUUCCCCAUCUCAUCCCAGGCUCAUCCUUCCAGACUGUUCCCCUCAAAAUAACUCUCUCCUUCCUCCACAGUGUCUCAGCAUUUCCCGUGAGCCUCUUGGAGAGCCUUGAUUUCAUUCUGCGUCCCCAGUUUCUUGGUGGACUGAAGUCACUACAGAACUGUGUGGCCAAGAAGACUCGUGAGGAAUGUUCAGGCCGGUUGCUGGUGACCAUUUCUCCCUCUUGGGACUCAAGGUGGGCAGGCCCAGAUCCUGCAAAGGAAAACAAUAAUUUGCCAUCAAGAUAGCCAGCAACAGGAGUUCUCGUCAUGGCUCAGCAGUAAUGAACCUGACUAGUACCCAUGAGGAUGCGGGUUCGGUCCCUGGCCUCGCUCAGUGGGUUAAUGAUCUGGUGUUGCCAUGAGCUGUGGUGUAGGUCGCAGACAUGGUUCCAAUCCUGAGUUGCUGUGGCCGUGGCUGUGGCCGGCAGCUACAGCUCCGAUUCCAUCCCUAGGCUGGGAACUUCCAUAUGCCGCAGGUGCGACCCUAAAAAGCAAAAAAAUAAAAAUAAAAAAUUAAUUAAAAAAAAAAGAUUGCCAGGAACAGGACCUCAGUAAAUGUUUCCUGACUGGUGGCAGAAGUGGGCUGGGCCGAGGGUCCCCUGUCACCUUGGGAACCCACUCCUUCACCUGCUCACCACACCAUGCCAGCCUACCUGCAGGUAUCAAGGAGAUUGUCUUGUGUGACUGGAUUCAUGCCAGCUUUUGUUUUUCAAAAGUUAGGGAAACCACUCCCUCACUGAUGAAGAAAUAAAAAUGCAUCUGGAAAGAGCAGGUUGAAGCAUUGAGGUUUCAAUGAUCAUUGCAGAGCCUCAAAGACCAAAAUAAGGACUUGGUUCUAAAGACAAGGGGGAGAUUUUGAAGGUUUUAAGCAGGGGAAAUGAAUUCAGGGUUUGAGAAGAUUUCUAUGGCUGGGAUUGGAGGCUGGAGGGGGAAGGGAAGAGGGGAGGGGAGGAAGCAGACAGGCCAGUGGGGAGACUGCUGUCCUGGGAAGCAAUGAAAGCACCCUGGCCAAGGAUGAAGGUGGGACGCUGCAGAGCUGGGACAUAGUCCCAUCACGCAGGUGGGCAAACUAGACUCAGAAGGGAAGCUGCCUGCCCACCCCAGGCUGCCCUGCCAGUCAGGGGGGAGGUUCAGACCCCAGAGCUCCUGUCUCAGGCCAGGCCCUGUUUCAUUUCCCCAUCAUCAACUGCUCCAUGGGGGAGCUGGGCUAAGCGAGCGCCAGCUAACAUUUCCACGCUUCCCAGCCUUCCUCACUACUUCAAAAAUCCCUGUAGUGUAUCCUUUUGUGAUGAGAAUAAUCACCCCUAAUUUAUCUGCAUCAGAAGUUCAGUAUCACUUUUCUUUUCAGCGCUGUGAGCACAUCUGUAUUCCUGUCCAGAAAUAAAAUACUAUUUUAAAAAAGCUAACUUGGGGUUGCUUAGGAGGGCUAGUCUUUCAUGUCAGUGAGCAUCUUUAGGGGCAGAGGCUGUGUAAGUCAUCCCUGUGCCCCACUGGGCCACGGCAAGGGCACAGUGAAUGGUAAAAAGGGAAGCUUUUAAGGGCAGGAACGAUUCUGACCUUACGGCACACUCAGUGAUGUGCCAAGCCCUGUCAUUUAAUUUUUCAUUGAAUCCUCAUAAUAUGAAAUAAAGUCGACUUAUUCUUGUCCCCAUUUUUCAGCUGGGGCCACUGAGGCUCAGAGAGGUGAAGCCAUUUGUCUAAGGUCACACAGCCUGUAAAAGCCAAGACUCAGACCAGGUGACGGUUAAGCCUAUGUUCUGAAAUUUGAGGGUCUUGUUCUGUUUGGUUUUGUCUUUUUGCGGCAUAUGGAAGUUCCCAGAUCAGGGAUCAAACCUGUGCCUCAACAGUGACCUGAGUCACUGCAGUGACAACACUGGAUCCUUGCCCUGCUGCACCAUAGUGGGAACUCCUGAGGUCUAUUUUGAGGAAGGAAAGGGGGAAAGAAGGAAAGAAGAAAAGAGGAGAGAAAAGAAGGAAGGAAGGGAGGGAGGGAAAAAAGAAGGAAGGAAUUUCUAGAGAAGGAAUUCAAUUCCUUUGUCAUCCAUUGCCUCUUUAGACCUUAGAUGAUUCUCCAGAUCAAAGAGGUCGGGGGGCGGGGGGGGCGGUGAGCUGGGGGGGAUGGGUGAAGGUUAAACCACGGCUGCCUGAAAACUGGCCUAUGCCAGCACAGAGUUAGUUUCUGGCUCUCAAAAUCUCUCUUCUGCCCUGAACUCGUUGUCCCCAACCUCUCCUCUAGUCAGUUUCCUUAUUCCUUCUUCCCCAAGGUCCCCUCGAGGGAGUGGGGGGCGAGGGGGACAGGGAGAAUAUAUACACAUAUGAGUAAGUUGUCUCCUGCGACCCCAUCUGCCCUUGGCUAAAUGAAUGCAGUGUCAGCCCAGAUAAUUCCAAAGCCAUAAAGAUGAUAUUUAAAAAGUAGGGGAGUCUGGGCUGGGGAGGGAUGGUGGUGGAGGAAGAGAUUACAAAAAAGGAGGAUGAGCUGUGUGGCUUUGCUCCUUAUCUAACCCACAGCAGGCUUGGCUGGGGGCUGUCUCUCUCCAGGGGGAGCAAGCAGGACUGCCACCCCGGCCAGCCUGCCCCCCUCCUCAGUCCCACCCCCACCCCACAGUGCAGCACGACACCCUAGAGAAGAAUCCACCCCAGCAGGAGCACAGGACCAGUCCAAGAGGUAUUGACAGCUGAGUAGGGAAUGGUGAGUUGGGGCCUUCAAGAGCUGUCACCAAGGCUGGGGCUGGGGACCUGGGGGCCCACCUGUCUGAGAGACCCGAGGCAUGGGCCCAGCUAUGAAGGGAAAAUGUCUCAGGAUGCUAGAGGUCACUCUUGGACAACUUGGUUAUUUUAAUGAAUACUGGCUCUGGAAAAUGGGACAAGGCGGGGCAUGUAAUAACUGUAUAACUCCUAUGAGCCUCAGCUUCCCUGCCUGUACAAUGGGCUCCAUGAAGCCCCCACCCAUACCCUUCUUUCUUCAAGGGUCAACACAACUAUUUAUGGGACGAAGAGGGGAAGGUGACAGUUCCCAAUCCAAAGGCAGGGGCUGGAAGUCCCCAGCAAGGGCAUCGUUUUUUUUGUCUUGGAGAGACAGACAGAUGUACACACACAGAGACAGAAUUAAAGUGGCAAAGAGAGGAGUUCCCAUCAUGCCUCAUCGGUUAACGAACCCAACUAGCAUCCAUGAGGACUCGGGUUCGAUCCCUGGCCUCGUUCAGUGGGUUAAGGAUCUGGCAUUGCCGUGAGCUGUGGUUUAGGUCACAGACACGGCUUAGAUCCAGCCUUGCUGUGGCUGCGGUAUAGGCCAGCAGCUACAGCUCCGAUUGGAGCCCUGGCCUGGGAACCUCCAUAUGCUGCAGGUGCGGCCCUAAAAAGACAAAAGACAAAAAAUAAAAAUAAAAAAUAAAUAAAGCGACAAAGAGAGACAGAGUGAGACAGAUGAUCAGAUACAAAAAAACUGAGGGAGACAGAGAUAAUAAGAGAGGCAAGCAGAGAGAGACAAUAAGAAAUACAGAGAUAGGGAGUUUCUAACGGGUUAAAGAUUCAGCGUUGUUACUGCUGUGGCUCUGGUUCUAUCCCUGGCCUGGGAACAGCAAAAAAAAAAAAAAAAAAAA